CCUACGGGGUGCAGCAGUGGGGGAUAUUGCACAAUGGGGGGAACCCUGAUGCAGCGACGCCGCGUGGGUGAAGAAGCGCCUCGGCGCGUAAAGCCCUGUCAGCAGGGAAGAAAAUGACGGUACCUGAAGAAGAAGCCCCGGCUAACUACGUGCCAGCAGCCGCGGUAAUACGUAGGGGGCAAGCGGUAGCCGGAUUUACUGGGUGUAAAGGGGGCGCAGACGGCGCUGCAAGCCAGGAGUGAAAGCCCGGGGCUCAACCCCGGGACUGCGCGUGGAACUGGGUGGCUGGAGUGCAGGAGGGGCAGGCGGAAUUCCUGGUGUAGCGGUGAAAUGCGUAGAGAUCAGGAGGAACACCGGUGGCGAAGGCGGCCUGCUGGACUGCAACUGACGUUGAGGCUCGAAAGCGUGGGGAGCAAACAGGAUUAGAUACCCCGGUAGUC
This 440-nucleotide ribosomal RNA is filed under the name uncultured bacterium. Its description in RNAcentral is "partial 16S ribosomal RNA". It matches the Rfam family "Bacterial small subunit ribosomal RNA", at positions 338 to 795 of the family's 1533-position model. The record is from RNAcentral.